GACGAACGCUGGCGGCGUGCCUAAUACAUGCAAGUUGAGCGAUGAAGAUUGGUGCUUGCACCAAUUUGAAGAGCAGCGAACGGGUGAGUAACGCGUGGGGAAUCUGCCUUUGAGCGGGGGACAACAUUUGGAAGCGAAUGCUAAUACCGCAUAAUAACUUUAAACAUAAGUUUUAAGUUUGAAAGAUGCAAUUGCAUCACUCAAAGAUGAUCCCGCGUUGUACUAGCUAGUUGGUGAGGUAAAGGCUCACCAAGGCGAUGAUACAUAGCCGACCUGAGAGGGUGAUCGGCCACAUUGGGACUGAGACACGGCCCAAACUCCUACGGGAGGCAGCAGUAGGGAAUCUUCGGCAAUGGACGAAAGUCUGACCGAGCAACGCCGCGUGAGUGAAGAAGGUUUUCGGAUCGUAAAACUCUGUUGGUAGAGAAGAACGUUGGUGAGAGUGGAAAGCUCAUCAAGUGACGGUAACUACCCAGAAAGGGACGGCUAACUACGUG
Molecule: ribosomal RNA, 497 nt
Filed under: uncultured bacterium
Lineage: Bacteria
Description: partial 16S ribosomal RNA
Rfam family: Bacterial small subunit ribosomal RNA
Source: RNAcentral